Molecule: ribosomal RNA, 494 nt
Filed under: uncultured bacterium
Lineage: Bacteria
Description: bacterial SSU rRNA
Rfam family: Bacterial small subunit ribosomal RNA
Source: RNAcentral
AAAUGAAUUGACGGGGGCCCGCACAAGCGGUGGAGCAUGUGGCUUAAUUCGAGGCAACGCGAAGAACCUUACCUGGGCUUGAAAUAUAUUUGACAGUCUGUGAAAGCAGAUCUUCCUUCGGGACAGAUAUACAGGUGCUGCAUGGCUGUCGUCAGCUCGUGUUGUGAAAUGUUCGGUUAAGUCCGGCAACGAGCGCAACCCGCGUCAUCAGUUGCCAGCAGGUAAAGCUGGGGACUCUGGUGAGACUGCCUGUGUUAAGCAGGAGGAAGGCGCGGAUGACGUCAAGUCAGUAUGGCCCUUACGCCCAGGGCUGCACACGUGCUACAAUGGUCGGUACAAUGAGACGCAAUACCGCGAGGUGGAGCAAAUCUACAAAACCGAUCUUAGUUCAGAUUGCAGUCUGCAACUCGACUGCAUGAAGUUGGAAUCGCUAGUAAAGGCGUAUCAGCUACGACGCCUUGAAUACGUUCCCGGGCCUUGUACACACCGCCCGU